GAAUGGAUUACCUGUGUGCUCAGAUAUGAUACCUUCAGCCCUUUGAGAGGAAGGGUGCGGGCUGAGACCUGGGCCAAAAGAGCCUUCAGGAUGGUGGAUUCUGCCCAGAAGCUGCCUCUUGUGUUUCCUGCAGGUGCCCUAAAAACAAUAUUUUCUAUGCGUUCUAUGAUGUGAAGAAGGUGGGGAAGCAAUGCCAGUUCCAACAAGCAGGUCUGCGCUGUAAGAACCACAAUCUGGCUUUCUACUAAGAAACCAGAGUUCCAACAAAUAGGCCCAGUUACCCAAAGCACCUGAUAGUGGUUUGUCAUAAUGGCCCAGAGGCUUCUCUGCUCAGGCAUUAAGCAUUUGGAGAUGGAAAUCUCGGCUCCAGUUUCCCUCUGCAGUGGGACUUAGUUCAUCUCAGCCUGAGUUGGUUUCUGCAGCAGCCCAACUCUGUCAAGCUCAAAGUUAAGAAAUUCUGUUAUGCAGUGGCAACAGAGGAGUGGAGGAAUUAAAAAAUAAGAAUCUUGUUCUAUGACCUUCCAGUUAUUAUUGUUUAAUUAUUAUUUUUAUGAGUUUAUAAGUUAUUUUAAGUCAUUUCUUUGUCCUUUCUCAAAAUGUAACAAAAAUUGUCAGCCAUUUUUCCUAAUUGCCUGCAAAUGACAGGCUAUGUCAAGUGAAUGAAAAUUUGAAUUUCUGUUGAGUCAACUGGUCCUUGAGUCACCAUUGUAGUGUUGGACAUCGCCUAGUCAAGCUCAGCCUGAAGUAGAAAAUAAAGACCUGCUGGAUUUCUUAUUCUUUUUUUCAAAUCUUCAGAAUUCCUACUACUGAUGAACCUUCCAGGAAAAAAAUGCUUCUGCUGGAAACUUACCCGCCUCCUAAAGACGCUGCUCGCCACUACUACUGAAGAGACACACUUGGCAGCCCGCAGUUACCUGAAGAUCAUGCACUCUCCAGGUUAGAAGGGACUUUUGAGUACUUAAUAUAGCGAUUCCUAAACCUGGCUUCUCAUCAGAAUUACCCAUGGAGGUUAAAACAAACAAGCAAGAAGAUUCCUCUCUAUCAUGGCCUUCUGAAUAAAAAGCCUCAGAGAGGCACUCGUUUACCUGAGAACUUUAGCAUAUUACAGCAAGGAGAAAGGGAGGAAAUACACAGCAGCAAAAUAAGGAUCAUAAAGCCAGCCUUUGUCACCUGAGAAAGGAGUUUCUCAAUUUCUUAAACGUCAAUAAACAUGUCAAGGCAGCAGUAGAGAGAACUCAGGAGAUGAAGAAAGUCCCAUCCCUGCCACAAACGAAGCAGGGAAAUCUUAUGACUCCCAGUCCUGGGAGAGUGGAAAGGAUGAAGGAGAUGGCAGAAGAGAGGAGGUGUGUGGAAUGCCAAGUAGCAAGGUCCAGACAGGCAUGAAGAAAACUAAGAACAU
Molecule: long non-coding RNA, 1399 nt
Filed under: Equus caballus (horse)
Lineage: Eukaryota; Metazoa; Chordata; Mammalia; Perissodactyla; Equidae
Description: lncRNA (ENSECAG00000050698.1)
Source: RNAcentral